RNAcentral lists this ribosomal RNA (301 nucleotides) under uncultured bacterium. RNAcentral's name for it is "partial 16S ribosomal RNA". It matches the Rfam family "Bacterial small subunit ribosomal RNA", at positions 509 to 807 of the family's 1533-position model. The record is from RNAcentral.
CAGCAGCCACGGUAAUACGUAGGGUGCAAGCGUUAAUCGGAAUUACUGGGCGUAAAGCGUGCGCAGGCGGUUUUGUAAGUCUGUCGUGAAAUCCCCGGGCUCAACCUGGGAAUGGCGAUGGAGACUGCAUGGCUAGAGUGCGGCAGAGGGGGAUGGAAUUCCGCGUGUAGCAGUGAAAUGCGUAGAUAUGCGGAGGAACACCGACGGCGAAGGCAAUCCCCUGGGCCUGCACUGACGCUCAUGCACGAAAGCGUGGGGAGCAAACAGGAUUAGAUACCCCAGUAGUCCCUGUCUCUUAUAC